Molecule: ribosomal RNA, 416 nt
Filed under: uncultured eukaryote
Lineage: Eukaryota
Description: bacterial SSU rRNA
Rfam family: Eukaryotic small subunit ribosomal RNA
Source: RNAcentral
CAAUAGCGUAUAUUAAAGUUGUUGCAGUUAAAAAGCUCGUAGUUGGACUUCUGAUGUGGAGGGACGGUCCGCCUCACGGUGAGCACUGAUUCUUCACGUCUUCCUCUCGUAGUCUUUUGGCGCACUUAGUUGGGUGCCUUUAGAAUAUGGGACCUUUACUUUGAAAAAAUUAGAGUGUUCAAAGCAGGCAUUUUGCUAUGAAUACAUUAGCAUGGAAUAAUAAUCUAGGACUUCGGUUCUAUUUUGUUGGUUUCUAGAUCUGAAGUAAUGAUUGAUAGGGAUAGUUGGGGGUGCUAGUAUUAAGGGGCCAGAGGUGAAAUUCUUGGAUUUGUUAAAGACGGACUACUGCGAAAGCAUUUGCCAAGGAUGUUUUCAUUGAUCAAGAACGAAAGUUAGGGGAUCGAAGAUGAUCAGAU